UUAUGGCCAUAUCAUGUUGAAACACCAGUUCCCAUAUGAUCAUCAAAGUUAAGCAAUGUCGAGCCUGGUCAGUACCUAAAUGGGUGACCACUUGGCCAUACCAAGUACUGUGA
This is a non-coding RNA of Acanthosepion pharaonis, 113 nucleotides long. The record is from the annotation of a GenBank genome assembly. Lineage: Eukaryota; Metazoa; Mollusca; Cephalopoda; Sepiida; Sepiidae.